Uranotaenia lowii is the source of this 267-nucleotide long non-coding RNA. RefSeq lists it as uncharacterized. The record is from RefSeq and is a predicted model, not a curated record. NCBI's taxonomy places the organism in Eukaryota, Metazoa, Arthropoda, Insecta, Diptera, Culicidae. The transcript has 2 exons.
GCGCCAUUUAUCCGGACAGUUUUAGUGGUCGACAAUUUUAAAACUAAAAUUCCUUCGGAGCUGAUACAAAGUCGGUCCAGCCGGAUACUUCGAACGAGAGUAUUGCGACGGUCGGAUGAUGAUGGAGUCAAUUUUAUGCUCAGGCUUCCAACCAAACAUGCUUGGAAAAAACAGGGGAAAAUCUAUUUUAUUUAUUCCAGGAAGAGAUAAAGUGAACUAAAAAUUAAAAUGUAAGUAAAUUAGUUUUAAUAAAAGUAUCGAUUAAAA